This 202-nucleotide long non-coding RNA is filed under the name Gossypium barbadense (sea-island cotton). Its description in RNAcentral is "long non-coding RNA (GBAR_LNC020983)". Lineage: Eukaryota; Viridiplantae; Streptophyta; Magnoliopsida; Malvales; Malvaceae. The record is from RNAcentral.
GAAAAGAAAAGAAAGAAAAAAGAAAGAACGUGAAGUAAAGUGGGGAAAUAACGUGAAGGAAAAUUGAAAUUAUUUUCCCCUUUCUAUUUAAUUCGUUAAUUAAAAAUCUAAAAAAAAAUAAAUAAAGUUAAAUUAAUACCAAAAAGACAAAAAAUUAAAACAAAAUGCUCUCUUUUCUCACAUUGUGAUUUGAACACAAGAC